UACGGAGGGUCCGGGCGUUAUCCGGAUUUAUUGGGUUUAAAGGGAGCGUUGGCCGGAGAUUAAGCGUGUUGUGAAAUGUAGAUGCUCUACAUCUGCACUGCAGCGCGAACUGGUUUCCUUGAGUACGCACAAAGUGGGCGGAAUUCGUGGUGUAGCGGUGAAAUGCUUAGAUAUCACGAAGUACUCCGAUUGCGAAGGCAGCUCACUGGAGCGCAACUGACGCUGAAGCUCGAAAGUGCGGGUAUCGAACAGG
RNAcentral lists this unclassified non-coding RNA (253 nucleotides) under uncultured Prevotellaceae bacterium. RNAcentral's name for it is "contains 16S-23S intergenic spacer region". It matches the Rfam family "Bacterial small subunit ribosomal RNA", at positions 524 to 776 of the family's 1533-position model. The record is from RNAcentral. Lineage: Bacteria; Pseudomonadati; Bacteroidota; Bacteroidia; Bacteroidales; Prevotellaceae.